CAUAAACUUAUAUAGCAAAUAUCGGGAUUGUCAUUUUUCGCGGAACUUUCACUUUCCGCGAAAAACCAAUGCCAGCAUGGCCAUAAAACACUACAUACAAAUCGAAAUCUAAAAAGCGCGGAACUUUCAUAUAUUUUCCGUCGGAGCAAUUAUUUUUCAACCCUGUAGAAAAAGCGGGCUCAAUUAAUCGCGCGGAACGUUAUUUAUCUACUCUGUACAAAUAGUAGUGUUUAAAAUCGCGCGGAGAUUGUAGAAUGCUAUUUUAAGAAGUCUAUUAAAGAGAGAAAAUCCAGUAAAUACCAGAUCCAAAAAGCGCGGAACACAAAUAUCGUCCGCGAAAAUUAAGCAUUGAAUUACUGUACAAAUCUCGGGUUGUUAGGUGUUAGAAUCCCUAGUUACCCGAAAAAUUUGAUUGGAUCCGAUACUUAGAAAUAACCAAUCAGAUACUUUGUAACAAAUGCAACACAAUCAGUGCGUUCAGUAAGUAUAACGUUUCAAGAUGGCGGAGCGAAUUGCAUGGUUAUUGUUUCUACUCGAUGGAUUCGCAGAUAAUUCGGAAAUAGAUCAGAUUGGGAUCAAUAACUGUAUUGCAUACGAUCAUUUACAUGUAUUACCAGGUGUGUGUUGCCAGUAAUGGUUGAAGAUAUGCCAAACAAAUUGUGCCUCUCUAUACAGACAGAUUUCAGGUCUCAAUUUCGACUUCAAAGGUCAACAUAUCACUGAUAUCAGGAAUUCUGUACAACUGUGGAACCAUGUAUGGUACGUGACCGCACAAUGUUGGUUGGCAAAAGGAUAUUGGAAUAAGCAAAGGGACUCAACAUUACACAGUCAUUUCAACAUGUAGAGUCUUGUCAGCAAUGAUGGAGCAGUACUUCAGAUUUCCAGAAUCUCGUCAUGAGCUGAAGAUCAUUGCCUAUGAAUUUCCUGAAUGAUGUAGAAUGAUUGGACUGUUGAUGGAACCCACAGUGCAUGUCCUGCUUCAACAUCUGAGCAUAGGUCCUUGUUUAUCAGCAGUUUAGUUCUUCAAGCAGUCUGUGACAGUUACUUGAAAUGUUUGGACAUAUGACCUGGAUGGCCAAGUUCUGUGCAUGAUGCCCAUUUAAAUAGGAACGGCCCAGUGGCGCAUUAAAUGGACAUUUUUCGAAUGUUCUCAAGGAUUCAGCUUACCGCCUGACAAGAAAUCUUGCUUUUUGUUCAGUAUCGAGGCCAUGGACAUUUGUAUCAUUUGCAAAAGAUACUGCGAUAUUUGUGCCUUUGUUCAUGCUUUAUAGUUGAUUAACAAUUGGAAGCCAUAACCUGUUUUUAAGAUGGUGUUAGUGGGACAAUGAAUUUUGUAAAGAUUUAAAGACUGGAAAAGAUAAUUAAAAGUCAAAAGAGUUCUGCUAUUGUUAAGCAUGCUUUAUUGAUUUGUAAUGUUAGAAAGAUAGCAUUAUUAACAGAAUAAAAUGUCCAUAAUUUGAA
Molecule: long non-coding RNA, 1461 nt
Organism: Dreissena polymorpha
Lineage: Eukaryota; Metazoa; Mollusca; Bivalvia; Myida; Dreissenidae
Exons: 4
Source: RefSeq, a predicted model, not a curated record